AGCGAACCAGCAGGGGCCGAAGAACCGUGCAGUGCCAGAGCCAGAGCUGGAUCCGGGGCCCCAGCCGGAGCCGAAACCUGAGCCAGAGUCCGCGGCGGGCGAGCCCGGAGCCCACGAGCCGCAGACGCAGCGCUGCCCAGGAGAAGUGGGCAGGAGAGAGGGCCGCCCGCUGCUCCCCGCUGCGUCCAGGGAUGGAGGGCCCCACCACCCAUGGAAUUGCUGGCCCCUCUGCGUGGCCCGGGACUUCAGCCGUGGCUUCGCGUCAAGAGGGUAUUUUUCCUAAACGAAACCGCUUCGUUCGUUCGUUCGUUCGUUCGUUCGGGCAGCAAUGCCGCAGAAAAGCAGCAGACGUCGGUCCGCGCCCUGGCUCUCUUCGCCCCGGACCCCGACGUCCCGCCGCAGCGCUCGGAGGUGCCCCCAGCCCAAGGCAGCCUGCUCUCGCCGGCACAGGUCGGGCUUUUUCUUCCCAGGAGAGAAACCCCAAUUCCCUUCGUAACGUCCAAUAAAGACAUUCCCGCGGC
Molecule: long non-coding RNA, 521 nt
Filed under: Homo sapiens (human)
Lineage: Eukaryota; Metazoa; Chordata; Mammalia; Primates; Hominidae
Description: HSALNT0329647
Source: RNAcentral